Long non-coding RNA from Zonotrichia leucophrys gambelii, 3709 nucleotides. RefSeq lists it as uncharacterized. Lineage: Eukaryota; Metazoa; Chordata; Aves; Passeriformes; Passerellidae. The transcript is spliced from 4 exons. The record is from RefSeq and is a predicted model, not a curated record.
CCCAAAUCAGGAUGAUGCAUGGAAAAAGCAUGCAGAUAAAGCAUAAUUUGCCCAAACGUGUCAUCACAAACUGACUUCCUAAAGGGGACUUUCAAGGCCUGGUUAACCUGUCCUGGCACUACUGAAGACAGCAAGAAUCUCGCUGCAGAUUUCAGGGAGAGCAAGAGCAGACCCUGUUUCCCUCUUCAGAAGAUUCCAUCAGCUGCAGCAGCUGUGCUAAGGAGCCUCUGUUGGAUUGCCCUGUUCACAGUGCUGGAGACAAAAAGUUCCCUUUUAUUUGAAGUCAAUGUACAUUACAUAAACAUAAACUCAUUCAAACCAACAGUCAUUCUGUAUCUGAAGCUAUCUGAUGUUUUCAUCUGCAGUUAUGCACAACCAGUUUCAGUGAGGUCUUAUUCUGUACCUCAGGUUUCUACAAGUAACAGAAAAUAACAGUUGGUUGUUUUGUCUCUGCUGGUCCUGAUUUUGCAAUCCCUAAAGACCAGCAUCUUCCUCUGCAAUUGACACAUUUUUGGGAAGAAAUAGAUCAAGAACUUCAAUAGAAGAAAGGUUCAGAAACAUCAACAACACCUUUCAGGAAGAAAAUCAAUAUGAGAUUAAUGAAAUUGAAAAAAAAAUUACAAAUAAAAUCCAAGGUGAUGCAACACAGGUUGUAAAAGUCAUUGUAAAUGGCUGACCAAACAACCGUCAUGGAGUCAUAAUUUAAAGGGAAGCUUCACUUUGGAGAAGAGUAAUGUUUAUAGAGAAGCUAAUUUUAUCUUUUUGAAUACUACUAAAAUACCUAUUGAAAGUAACAAGUUGUAGUCCAAAAUACUGCAGUGCAGCUCAGAGGAGAGCUAGCACAGGCCAUGAACUGGCCUCACAUGGUGCUCUAUGUCUGAUACCAUAAGAAAUACACAAUUUCACGAGCCCAGGCAAGCUGUAUAGGUAGAGCCCUGUCCUUGCUGCAAGGAUAGUUUUUGCUAGUGAUGUCAGUGAAUUGAUGUUUUUCUCUGAUUUUAGCCCAUGAAAGUUUAAAUACUGAGCCAGGAAACCCAUAGCAGUUAUACUGCAUGUAAUAUCAGUGAUUUUUAAACACAUUUGCUUAGGAGGAUUACUAAAUGGAAUUUGAACAAUGAUUUAUUAUUGGAAAUUAUUUCUGUUUGUUUAUUCACUCAGUUUUCCUAAUUGUGCCAUGUUAUUUUGCAUGGUAGUGUGCUGUACGAGGACACGAUAUGCACUUAAGCCUUUGGGCAUGUGAGAGAGGAAGAUACUGGGACUGAGACUCUUUGAUGUCACCAAAGUCAGCAAUGGCAAAAAGGUGCAUUUCUGCAAGAAUGUUCUAGGCAACCUCCUCAGCACAGAAGGAUGUGCUGCAGAUGGUGAUGCUCAGGAGCCAUUCCACCAGCCCACUAGGAUACAAGGUGAGGAUAACUGCAUCCAGCUGAGCUGUGCCAAAACUACCUUGACUUCCUGCCUCCUGUAUCUUUCUUUCCAUGCUGCAAAUCCAUGAGUGCUUGAAACAUCUGUGGCUGGCAAUGCCAGCCCAUGGCUGGUGAACAUCCUGCCCACUGCUGGUGCUUUAGGAGCCCUUUCUACAACACCUGCCUCCUUGGGACAGCAGCUGGGGCAUACAGUAGCUCAUCACCUCAUUGUCAGAGCACAGCUGAUAUGUUGGGGGACUAACUUCAACUAUUUCACUGCAGGAGAGCUUUAAUUCUGACUAUUGCAAGAAUAUAGACAAAUUUCUCAACCUGCUUCAGUCUGUGAACUGCAGAUACAUAUACAGGUUGGUUGAUCCUGGAUACAAAACCCAGCACUGCCCUCUGUCUUUACCUUCCCCAUUCCCUGCAAUUUGUGAAUGUUUGCCUAGAAAGGGUAAGAAAAGAUUCGGUUGCUGCAGAUCCUCCUAAACGCACCAGCUUUUCUGUUUGUUUGCUUAAUUUGCUACAUAUUAUUAACUCCACUGAGUUUCUGCCAGGCAGAAUUUGCAACUCGGUUACCCCAUGAGUGUGCUGCAACACUGCCAGGAAUUGAAAAUCACCAGUCUUCAUAAUCGCUGUUUUCCCAAAGACCAGGAGAGCAGACAGGCUAUUUUGGGCUAGAAAUGGAAAUCAGAAAAUGAGAUUUUCUUUCCCUGCUAGUUCCUCUCCUGGGAAUUGUAGUCCUUUUCUCUGUGCACAUGCUUUGGUUGUUGGGAUAUUGGUAAUGUGGGUCUCUCAGAGCAUCUGUCCCUGGAGCCUGUUCUCAAGCACUGCAAUGCCAGUGAACGUGGGAAAUCAUUCCCACUAGUACCCAUGUGCUGUUUGUUGAUAUAAUUUUACAUAUUAGACCAAAACCAGAUCAGGAUAGCCUGAUUUACCCCAUGAGUCUGGUGACAGUAAUUCAAAAGUCAGGUUUACAAAGUAAGUAAAGGUAUUUCCCAGCUACCUGCACUUCCUUUUCUAAUAGUGGUAAUCCAUCUGCAACUCUCAGGUUUGCAGAUUGCCUGCUGCCUCCUGUGGAUGAUGAAGUCCAGUCAUGAAUGCAAGCACUCUGGACUCGCAGUCCUGUCCAUGUCAGGGAUGUCUGGCCUUGCCUUCAGUUUAUAGCACAGACAUUGCCGUCUGAAUCAUCCAUAUCAUAUGGAUCUAAUGCAAGAUCUUUUCAUGGCCUUUACAUCUGAGAAGUUCCAAUUAUCAUUCCUCCUCAUCAAUUCUUCUAUCGUCAGUUCUAUCAUUCUUCAUUAAUUAUGCAUUUUUCUUUUUUCUGGAAAAAGCUUUGCAUUAUUAGGAGUUCAAGGUUUUGCUACAGCAACAUGCAGAUCUUGGAACUUGAGAACAAACCCUUAGCCCCAUAUGCACUUUUCUGUUGCCCCUAAUGGUAAUGAGAAGCAUUUUCUGGGCUAGAAAAUACCUUCAUUAGUUCAUGACAGGGUGAUUCUAGGCCUCUAUGCCGUUGUUUGAUGAAAUGCUAAUCAAAAGGGUCCUUUGAUAGAGAAAAAAAUAAUUAUCCUUUCAUAUUUUAGUCAAUUGUAUACUACUGAGAAGCAGUCUUUUCCUGCCUAUAGAAAUAAAGACAUAUUUAACCUUGAAAUAUAGAAAUAUUUAACCUUGGAAAAACAUAAUUCAUGCUAUUUUCUUCACAGGAGGAAAAGGAGUGGGCUAUUUUGGGGCACAAACCUCUUCAGUGAGAGAUAUCUCAGUGUCCUGGGGUGACUUGAUGAUGUUUGUAUCCCCAUUUGUCAGUUUAACCUAGAAAUAAGUCUUGCACCUUUAGGACUGGUUCCAAGAGUGAAGGGGGGAGUGGGGGGGGGUGAGAAGAAGCAAUGAGUUUGUUAUCAGGAACUGCACUUGCUCCCCUGCAUCCUUCUCCUGCACUAUGCAGUCUGCGGCAAGGACAGACAGAGGGACAGAGCUCUCCUUUGAUUUUUAAUUAGUUUUUAGCUAGCUGAGGCCGAGAAUUUCUCUGGACUGUGUUUUUCCAUUUUUUCUGGAACUCUUUGAACCUGCUCUGGACUGAAAACCCAGAAGAGCACCUGCAGCUCACACCUGUGGCCCACUGGACUGGGCCAGGGUUGCAGCAUUUCCAAUGCGAGAGGGACUGAUAACAGAAUGAGUUAGCAGAGCUACAGCCCACUUUCUGAGUGUGUCACCUCUUCUAAAUGGCAAGAGGUUUUAUUGUUCAAUAUUGUUCCUUUUUUAUUCUGCUGGUAAAUGCUUAGCCUGUUAAAUAAAGAAUUCUUUUUCCA